ACCUACUUAACCCAGCGGUUAGAGUCUUGCUUUCAUACGGCGGGAGUCAUUGGUUCCAAUCCA
RNAcentral lists this transfer RNA (63 nucleotides) under Galeola lindleyana. RNAcentral describes it as "tRNA-Met". Lineage: Eukaryota; Viridiplantae; Streptophyta; Magnoliopsida; Asparagales; Orchidaceae. The record is from RNAcentral.